CGUCCUCACUGGCCGCGGCUCGGCGGCUCCGGAAGGAGGCAGACCUGCCUGCUCUGGACGCCGCGUUCCCCCAGGCCCGGAGCUCCGUGGAGGAAGGCGCCAGGCCCGGUCCCGAGGACUCCCAGGUUUCCUGGAGUGGCCCAGAGUGUACCAGCAGACCACCAUCAUCCUG
Molecule: long non-coding RNA, 172 nt
Organism: Talpa occidentalis (Iberian mole)
Lineage: Eukaryota; Metazoa; Chordata; Mammalia; Eulipotyphla; Talpidae
Exons: 3
Source: RefSeq, a predicted model, not a curated record